RNAcentral lists this ribosomal RNA (460 nucleotides) under uncultured bacterium. Its description in RNAcentral is "partial 16S ribosomal RNA". It matches the Rfam family "Bacterial small subunit ribosomal RNA", at positions 338 to 795 of the family's 1533-position model. The record is from RNAcentral.
CCUACGGGAGGCAGCAGUGAGGAAUAUUGGUCAAUGGACGAAAGUCUGAACCAGCCAUGCCGCGUGCAGGAAGACGGCUCUAUGAGUUGUAAACUGCUUUUGUACGAGGGUAAAUCCCGUUACGUGCAUCGGGUUGCAAGUAUCGUACGAUUAAGGAUCGGCUAACUCCGCGCCAGCAGCCGCGGUAAGACGGAGGAUUCAAGCGUUAUCCGGAUUUAUUGGGUUUAAAGGGUGCGUAGGCGGUUCGAUAAGUCAGAGGUGAAAUCCCGGGGCGCAACGCCGGCACUGCCUCUGAUACUGUCGGGCUAAAGUUUAGUUGCGGUAGGCGGAAUGUAUGGUGUAGCGGUGAAAUGCAUAGAGAUCAUACAGAACACCGAUUGCGAAGGCAGCUUACCAGACUACGACUGACGUUGAGGCACGAAAGCGUGGGGAGCAAACAGGAUUAGAUACCCCAGGAGUC